Molecule: ribosomal RNA, 492 nt
Filed under: uncultured bacterium
Lineage: Bacteria
Description: partial 16S ribosomal RNA
Rfam family: Bacterial small subunit ribosomal RNA
Source: RNAcentral
AGUGAACGCUGGCGGUAGGCCUAACACAUGCAAGUCGAACGGCAGCACAGUAAGAGCUUGCUCUUACGGGUGGCGAGUGGCGGACGGGUGAGGAAUACAUCGGAAUCUACUUUUUCGUGGGGGAUAAGGUGGGAAACCUACCCCAAUUACGCCUUCGAACUUCGGGUGAAAAGCAGGGGAUCUUCGGCCUUGCCGGGAUUGAUGGGGCGGAUGCCGGAUUAGCUAGUUGGCGGGGUAAAGGCCCACCAAGGCGACGAUCCGUAGCUGGUCUGAGAGGAUGAUCAGCCACACUGGAACUGAGACACGGUCCAGACUCCUACGGGAGGCAGCAGUGGGGAAUAUUGGACAAUGGGCGCAAGCCUGAUCCAGCCAUACCGCGUGGGUGAAGAAGGCCUUCGGGUUGUAAAGCCCUUUUGUUGGGAAAGAAAAGCAGCAGGUUAAUACCCCGCUGUUCUGACGGUACCCAAAGAAUAAGCACCGGCUAACUUCGUG